RNAcentral lists this ribosomal RNA (120 nucleotides) under uncultured bacterium. RNAcentral describes it as "partial 16S ribosomal RNA". It matches the Rfam family "Bacterial small subunit ribosomal RNA", at positions 796 to 913 of the family's 1533-position model. The record is from RNAcentral.
CAUGCCGUAAACGUUGGGCGCUAGGUGUGGGGCUCAUUCCACGAGUUCUGUGCCGCAGCUAACGCAUUAAGCGCCCCGCCUGGGGAGUACGGCCGCAAGGCUAAAACUCAAAGGAAUUGA